CAUCGAAAACUUUAAACAGCCAGCUGCAGAGUUGCUAGAAUUGGAGUUGCUAGAAUUGCAGGGUGUGUGGGCUGGGCCUGGCCCAGGCUUGUGGCAGUGAGAAUGCGAAGGUGAGGAGAUGUUAUAUAGAAGCCACCGGCAGGCUGUGGUGAGUGACAGGAUGGGGAAAAAGGGAGCAUCCAAAGAAGUGGUCCAGCUGUGGAACCUCCAAGAAUGUCGGUGCUUCUGACAGUAUCAGCAAAGUCAGAGUAGAAACCGAUUUUGGAGGCAGGCAGGUGGGCUCUGUGUGAGCUAGGUGCAGCUGAGGGAACGGCAGGACAUUCCAGAGAGGCCCACCGCCCUGGGCGCUGCCACAUGGAUGCUCUCAGAAGAGGUGAGGGCCUGUUUCCAGCCUGCCCUGAGAGCUGACUCAUGAAGCCGCUGAUUCCCACUACACUCUCUCAACAGCGCCACAGAAAAUACCAUCUCAAAGGACUGGUACGAGCACUGACCAAGCCUCAUUCAAUGAUCUUCAUCACAGAGUGCUGAACACAGUGCCAGACACCCGUGGGGACAUUCCAGAAAAGUUCAUUUCUCUCGUGUGUUUCCUUCUUCUGGGAAAGGAUUUGGCUGAGUAUGGUCUAAUUCGUACUAAGGUGUUAAUAGUUGAAAAGCUGAACAUUCUUGUACCCUAAGGAAGAGAUCAUGCUGCUCCAUUCUGUGGUAGACUGUCCGGAAAAAUGGCAGGGAGUUCGAGAGGGGAUAUAUUAUGACUACAUUCCAAAAUCUGAUCAGCACGUGGGGCUGGCUGCUGGGUUUCCAUGCCUGCAUACCAAUGAAGCUGCAUCUGGAGCAGAAUAGUUUGUGCCCAUAAACCAUGACCUUCAUUAUCCACGGAGGCGGCCAGCAGUGGCAGUCCCUGUAGAAAUCGUUCCCAUCCCAAUUGCGAGGGUGGCAGAGGCGACAAGACUAUGCCAUUCGUCUCAGCAGUGCUAACAAAUGUUUUCUAUAGUGCUGUGCAAAAUACACUCUUCCGCUAUUCUUUCUGGCUGGGAUGGGCUUUUUUUUCCAAUUAAAAAU
Leopardus geoffroyi (Geoffroy's cat) is the source of this 1059-nucleotide long non-coding RNA. RefSeq lists it as uncharacterized. NCBI's taxonomy places the organism in Eukaryota, Metazoa, Chordata, Mammalia, Carnivora, Felidae. The transcript has 3 exons. The record is from RefSeq and is a predicted model, not a curated record.